RNAcentral lists this transfer RNA (71 nucleotides) under Ictidomys tridecemlineatus (thirteen-lined ground squirrel). RNAcentral describes it as "Spermophilus tridecemlineatus (thirteen-lined ground squirrel) tRNA". It matches the Rfam family "tRNA". From Rfam's summary of the family: Transfer RNA (tRNA) molecules are approximately 80 nucleotides in length. Their secondary structure includes four short double-helical elements and three loops (D, anti-codon, and T loops). Further hydrogen bonds mediate the characteristic L-shaped molecular structure. tRNAs have two regions of fundamental functional importance: the anti-codon, which is responsible for specific mRNA codon recognition, and the 3' end, to which the tRNAs corresponding amino acid is attached (by aminoacyl-tRNA synthetases). tRNAs cope with the degeneracy of the genetic code in two manners: having more than one tRNA (with a specific anti-codon) for a particular amino acid; and 'wobble' base-pairing, i.e. permitting non-standard base-pairing at the 3rd anti-codon position. Lineage: Eukaryota; Metazoa; Chordata; Mammalia; Rodentia; Sciuridae. The record is from Rfam by way of RNAcentral.
UGGGAUAUAGCUCAGUUGGUAGAGUGCUUGCCUUGCAUGGGCAAGGUUCUGGGUUCAAUCCCCAGCACCAA